CAAUGAGGUAGAGGUCGCGAAGCUUAUUAAUCCUGUGGAGUGCAAGAGACAUGAAGAAGCAGGUCUAGGAAGUUUCGCCGAAAUGUACAGAAUUCUCUUUUUGUUCUGUAUGUUGGGACGCAAGCGAAUAACUUGCGGACUGUCUUAGCAGUGAUGCUAAGUUGCGCUAUGUUUUGU
Molecule: non-coding RNA, 177 nt
Filed under: Enterococcus pallens
Lineage: Bacteria; Bacillati; Bacillota; Bacilli; Lactobacillales; Enterococcaceae
Also listed under: 1 other name
Description: Lysine sequence
Rfam family: Lysine riboswitch aptamer
About the family: Riboswitches are metabolite binding domains within certain messenger RNAs that serve as precision sensors for their corresponding targets.
Source: RNAcentral